This is a long non-coding RNA of Rattus norvegicus (Norway rat), 3277 nucleotides long. RefSeq lists it as uncharacterized. The record is from RefSeq and is a predicted model, not a curated record. Lineage: Eukaryota; Metazoa; Chordata; Mammalia; Rodentia; Muridae.
CAGCCACUUAAAUCGAGUUUCCUGGUACUCGGGCAGUGGAGGCGCCUGCGUUCUGCCUGUGUGCAUGGCGUGCAUGCCCUCACUGUCAGCACAUAAGCUAAAUAAACAGCAGAAACCAACCGCGGUCCCCCAAGUGCGUGAAGUGUCUCUCAGCAGCAUUUACUUUAGCACGUCCUUGAGAAGUGCACUGUAAACACAGGGCUUGCUCAUCCACCACAGAGCUUGCAGUCCAGCAGGGGGGUCUCCUGAGUGGAGGGAGGGCAGGAUAUGAAGAGGGCAUUGCUUCUAGAAACCGGUAGCAGAGACAGACACAUUCGCCAGCCCCUGGUAACCAGAGCCCACAGCUCCUGUCUCCUGGCUGCUGGCUGUUUCCAGGCUUCCUGCUCUUUAGCAUUUCCUCAUCAGGUAAAGGUGAUGAGCUGUUAAAAAUACUUCUCGGUUACGGCUUCCAGGCAUGAUCGAUCCCACCCUUCGUUUGUGUUCGCGAAAUGAGGCUUGGCGUGGCUUGCUCAUUGUUCAAAGUGCAUAACAGAAACAGACCUUUGACAAACAUCUCCCGGGCUGCUGGACACAGCAUGUUCUCGCUACAUUCAUUAUUAGCAGUAAAUCUAUUCUGCGACUUUGAGAAUGUAGUUACAGACUCUCAUGAGAUCAUGUUUGAUACUUUAGGAGUAUUAGCUUCAUAAAGUUCCUUGGCUCAUUAGAAUUAGACUUCAGACUGACCCAGCUGCUGAAAGACUAAAUUGGAAACUAAUUUGUUGGAACUUGGAAGGUGGCUAAACUAUUUGAGAUGUUCCACUGACAGACAAAAACAAAAAAGCAAAUUAAAAGGUUGUAAAAUCAAGUAAAUUAGAGAGAUAGGGUUGAAUGCUUAACAUCUAGUCCAUGUUUGUAAUGUUGUUUAGAAUGUUGCAGACUGAAAACCCUGUGGUUAAUAAACUUGAUCACUUGUAGUUAAACUAACACUUUCUAAGUACGGUUGACCAGAAACCGUAAAACCACAAACAACAUUCAGUGGAAAGCAGAUUGUGAAAUCUUGAUUGCCAAAGUGGGAGAAGGUACUCACUGCAUGUGUUAGCAGGAUGUGACUCCCCUGUUGGAGUUUUAGCUCAUAUAUGGUCAACAUCUUAGUUAUGUCCUUGUUGCUCAUAGAAUCGCUUUCUGACCAACAGCAAGAUUCAUGACUUCAUCAUCAGAGAUGUGAGGUCUGACAAAUUUCACUAUGACUUCUUAGCCAUUAAGUCUCGACAGCUGGCCCAUUUAAAAAUUGGCAAAGAGGAAAUAAAGGUAUCACUAUUUGCAGAUGAUAUGAUACUAUAUGCGAGCAACCCCAAAAAUUCUACCAGAGAACUUCUCCAGCUGAUAAACAACUUCACCAAAGUGGCCAGAUAUAAAUUAACUCAAAUAAAUCAGUAUCCUUCCUUCAUACAAAUGAUAAACAGGCUGAAAAAGAAUUAAGUAAAUGAUACCUUUCACAAUAGGCACAAAUAAUAUAAAAUAUCUUGGGGUAACUCUAACCAAACAAAUGAAAGAUCUUUAUGAUAAGAACUUCAAAUCUCUCAAGAAAGAAAUUGAAGAAGAUCUCAGAAAAUUGAGAGAUCUCCCAUGCUCGUGGAUUGGCAGAAUUAACAUAGUAAAAAUGGCCAUCCCACCAAAGGCCAUCUACAGAUUCAAUGCAAUCUCCAUCAAAAUCCCAACACAAGGGGUUGGGGAUUUAGCUCAGUGGUAGAGCGCUUGCCUAGGAAGCGCAAGGCCCUGGGUUCGGUCCCCAGCUCCAAAAAAAAAAAAAAAAAAAGAACCAAAAAAAAAAAUCCCAACACAAUUCUUCAAAGACAUGGAAAGAGCAAUUCUCAAAUUCAUCUCAAUGGAAAAAAAAACCAAAAAAAAAAAAAAACAACCAAAAAACAAAAACAAACCCAGAAUAGAGAAAAUAAUUUUUAACAGUAUAAGAAGGCUAGGGGAAUCACCAUCCCUGACCUCAAACUAUACUACAGAGAAAUAGUGAUAAAAACUGCAUGGUAUUGGUACAGAGACAGACUGGGAAAAAUUUCACUAACUCCACAUCUGAUAGAGGGCUAAUAACCAAAAUAUAAAGAAAUCAAGAAGCUAACCACCAAAAAACCAAACCAAAACAAGACAAAAAAAAUAAAAAAACAAAAAAAAACGAACAAAACAAAACAAACAAACAAAAAAAACCAACCCAAAACCCAACAACCCAAUCAAACAAUGGGAUUUAGAACUAACUAGAAUUUACAGCAGAGGAAUCUUUAAAGGCUGAGAAGCACAUAAAGAAAUGUUCAAAGUCUUUAGUGAUCUGGGAAAUGCAAAUCAAAAGGAUCUUACACCAAUCAGAAUGGCUAAGAUCAAAAACUUAGGUGACAGCAGAUGCUGGUGAGGAUGUGGAGAAAGAGGAACACUCCUUUGUUGUUGUUGGGAUUGCAAACUGGUACAGCCACUCUGUAAAUCAAUCUGGAGGUUCCUCAGAAAACUGGAAAUAGACCUACCUGAAGACCCAGCAAUACCACUCUUGGGGAAUAUACCCAAAGGAUGCCCCACCAGGCCACAGGGGCAUGUGUUUUACUAUGUUCAUCUGUGAUAGCCAAAAGCUGGAAACAACCCAGAUGUCUCAUGACAGAAGAAUGGAUGCUGAAAAUGUGGUUCAUUUACACAAUGGAAUACUCCUCAGCUAUUAAGAAUGAGAACAUCCUGAGUUUUGCAGGCAAAUAGAUGGAACUAGAAAAUGUCAUCCUGAGUGAAGUAACUCAGACCCAAAAGGACAUGCAUGAACUGCAGGGAUGGAAAUGGCAAGGAGCCUGAGGAAAAGGAGGUCCAGCCACAGGCCCAAAGUGGGAUCCAGCUCAAGGGGAGGCCCCAAGGCCUGACACUAUUACUGAGGCUAUGGAGUAUUUACAAAAAGGGACCUAUCAUGACUACACUCUGAAAAACCCAACAAGCAGCUGAAAGAGGCAGAUAUUUACACACAACCAAUGGACAGAAGCUGGUGAACCCUGUGGUUGAAUCCGGUUAAAGCUGGAAGAAGCUGAGGAGGAGGGUAACCCUGUAGGAGGACCAGCGGUCUCAACUAACCUGAACCCCUGAGAUCUCUCAGACACUGGAUUACCAACCAGGCAGCAUACACCACUGAGAUGAAGCCUCCAACACAUACACAGCAGAGGACACUCGGGUCUGGGUUCAGUCAGAGAAGAUGCUCCUAACCCUUAAGAGACUGGAGGCCUCAGGAAUUUUAGAGGUCUGAUGGGGUGGGGGGUGGGAGGAU